UCCCUCCAUGCGUGCAUUACCCUGGGCUCAGGCGUAGACUCGAGAUCCACAUAUGAGCAAUAGCUGUAGCUGCUGACUCACUCACAUCGCUUUUCUUGGUUUUUUCAUUUCAGCAGUGAGCUGGCCAGAUAUUAUUCAUUUUAUUUGAGAUGUCUGCUGAAGGUAUAAAUGUCUAGGCUUCCUGUAAGGAACGGAUGAAGUCCAAAAGGCACAAGGUAAAUGUGCAACAGACAGUCUGAGAGCACGCCUGCAGCACUGACUAGGGCCCGUACAUCAGGCAGAACAAACGUCCACAGCCAUUGCUGAGUCUGCAAAUGGGUUGGAUUUGUUGUUUUGUUUGCCACGUGAAGGGUACUUUUAAGAGGUGGCAGCUACGUGGCCUCUUGUUUUAUGUGACUGAAUUAUUUAAAGACCUUGUUGUUAGGGGGAAAUGAUGACUUUUCUGUAAGGCAGGUUACAACCAACUUGUGUGCAGUGCUCUGUUACAGCUCUUCUCUAUCCUUGGGAAAACCAGGUUUUAUUUUAGACUUGCCAGACCAUUCUGAAGGCAAAUGACAGUACUUGAAUGAAGUCAGAGGAGGGAAGAAAAUAGCUCUUCAGUCACUAAGUCAUGAAAAAUUAUUCUGAUUUAGGCAUCUGAUAUUUGUGUUCAUUCUACUCAGAAACAGCUCCUCAAAGCCUUUGCAUCGUUAAAUCUCCUCAUUAACUUGGAUAGUGACUACUGUUGAGGAGAAUACAAAAAUCUGUGCACCAUUAUAAACCCUCACUCACUCUUACAGAACGUGUGGGGAAUCUAGCCGGGGAGUUAAGGUCCCAGAGCUAGCCCUGUCACCAAUGAUGGGAAGUUUCCGUGGAUAUAGUACACAGCAAAACAGAUGGGAAUGAUGACAUUUCUCUAACUGAGAGCUAUCCAAAAUCUUCCAGUAAAGAUUAUCUGCUUUGGUCUUACUGGGGUAGUAAAGGCCUGUGUUUGUAAAGUGGAAGAGCCAGCUUUUCAGAAGUCUGUUUUUUUACAGAAUGCUUGACACACAAGCCAUAAUUCUGGGAUUCUGGUUCCCUUGUUAAGUUCUCCUGCUUUCAGAUUCUUGGAGCUAAUUUUCAUUGACAAUAGGAACAUUCCUUGAAAAAUGCUGAUGUAAUGAAGUACGUGCUACUUGAGAUUAAAAGAUUUAUUCAGUGACUCCUUUGUGAAACUUUUGCGAAGUGUCUUAACAUUUUUAUGUUUCUCUAACUGCCAACAAAAUCUCAUUGCACCACACAGUUUGCAACAUUAGUCAGAUUUUGACACAGGCUCACGCAAGAGGCAGUUUUCACAGUCAGGAAUCAUAAAAUGUUAAAGAAAUUGCCAUUAUUUGAAAACUAGACACAGUUCAGUGAAGCAGAUGGACUUGCUAACAGUGACUUAGGAGGUCUGUAGCACAGCUGUGUUGACACGGAUUAUAGACAAUCAAAAUUGUAUAUAAAGUGCAUGCCUUAGUUUUAGUUUUAAGCAUAUUGCUAACAUUUAAUGAACUGUGUAACCUUAUAUGGUUUAUGUAUUUUUGUACUGUAGCUGCGAGUUAUGCUAAGGCCUUGACUAAACCUUCCCAGAAAUCUGUAUUGCUAUUUGUAAUGCAGGCGCACAGACUGAGAGUGCCAAUAAGCCUUUGAUUGAAUCUUGAUUAAUGUAAAUACGUUAAGCCUGUAGGUGCCAUUCCAGCCCAGGGAGCUUCUUACAGCUUUUAACCAUGUCCACAUCAGAGUUAGAGCCCCUUUGCUUCAGAUAAUUUCCAAAGACCAUCUGAAGAAUGUUUGGACUUGCUUGUGAAGGAUCAGGGAUAGAGACAUUUUCUGAAGCCCCUGGCUGGCUUGUUUGCAACACCAUCCCAAUAAAAAUUAAGCCCUCAGACACAAACUUAAGAAAGAAAAGAAGAAAACAGAAUUCUGACAUAUUUCACAACUGUACUCUGAUCCCAGGAGAAAGAUUGGGUAAGAAACACUGAUCUUUCUUACAUAUCUGUCUGCAAAGUUUCAGUAGCCCUCUUUUACUAGCGAGCUCUCCUGGAUUAGGUGAGCAAGUUGCCUAUUUGUUUCAAUGGAUUGCUUUAAUUGGCUCUCAUCUAAGCAACAGAGAGGGGAUGUAGGAGCACAGCAUUUAACCGAGAGGAAAACGAGAUGUGUGGAGGGAAAAGGAAGGCACCAUGAAGUGUGGUAAGCUGCAGUGGGAUCUAGAUGGCUGAGAUGGAUCAAAGCACUGAGCUCUCCUCCUGGCUCUGGUGCUUGAUAACCUCUGGUGCCUUAUUACCUGUUUUGAUAGCAAAAUUUGCAGAUCUUCAUUUGCCAAGGAAAUGUGCUGAACACGCAUACGUGUGUGGAAUGGGACAAGGCAGCUCCAGCAUGGGGGCCAGUUUCUUCCAAGGUAAAUCUUUGUGGGAAUAACCUUCCUGAUCUACACUGCUGUCUAUACUUACUUGGUAGGGAUUCUGCCACUGAGGAAACACUGACUGAAAAGGUGCGUGAUGAGAAAGAGGAAUAACUGAAAGGAAACAUCCUCCCUGCUGUGCUGUCCUAUUACAUGGUGUCGGAGCCCAGGAACCAGGGAGAGACCACUUUGCUGCUUGACUUCUCAAGAAUCACAGAAUAGAAGAUGUGUCUACUGGAAGAACCUUUAGCAGUCAAAAAGGACUGACACAUCGAGUAGGACUCUCCAGGCUGAGAUACAGUGAAGAUGCAGCCCAAAUGACCUUGGUAAAGUGCUGUGGGGGAGUCUGUUCUUGUGUCCUUUUAUUCCCAUGCACAUGCCUGUCUCUGAUGAGUUUGUGAUUUGACCACGGGGACAGAAAAUAAAGAUGAAAGACUAGAAGGUGUGCUUUUGGCUGAAAAUAUAAAACCCAUGAGAACUGCUCACCUGUGUUUCUCUGUUCAGGGGAAGUGUGGAAGGAACUUUGCUGGCAAGUGGACUUAGUGCCAAGUGGACUUAGUGGACUAAGUGCCACUUAGUGCCAAGUGCCAAGUGGACUUAGAUGCAGAAGAGGACCAAGAUAUUAAGAUAUACAUGAAUUAAGCAUGGCUGAGAAAAUGCCAUCUGCAUUAAUCUGCAAACCUAAAGGAUUAAUUUAUUCCCAUUAUUUCUCUUAUUUCACUUCAUGCCCACUGUGUAGCUUUAUUGCAUUUGGUCUCUCCUUUAAAAAAAAAAAAAAAAACUUGUACAUUUUUCUAGUGACCUGGAAGACUUAAUUUUUUUUCUUUAAAGAAAAUAGUCUGCUGAAUAAUCUUCUCUUCUAGGCAAACAAAUGUCAUCUUCAGAAUAAAACAUGCAUGCACGAGGAAAUUCCAUUGAAGAGGGGGAAAAAAGCUUACUUGGCUUGGGCCCCUUUCAGCAUGAUCUGACAUACAGUAUGUUAUCCUUAGAUGAUCUGUUAUUAUCUUCCUCCUCCUGAGCCACGUGUCAGCAACCAUAUGUGUGUGAGCAGCUGAAACUGUCCUUUGAACUCUCCACUGGCAGACUGACAGUGUGGGCAAGUGGACAGCAGGCUAGGCUUGGGUGCAGUACCUGUCCAAGUGGCUCACCAGCUUUGUAACCCCAGAUACAUCCCCCUUUCCUUGAGAGAAAGACAGAGAUUGAUACUGACUAUGGACCAGCAUAUGCUCCUCAUGGUGGAAGGAAGAAUGGGACCUCUUUCGUGAUCACAGCACACCUGUGAUUGGACCUUUCCCUCUCUGGAGUUAGGCAGGACUUGUGCAAAGUUCCCUUCAUGCACAACUGCUUGAGCUUGCCUCCUUCUGGGUCUGGGAGCAUUUCUUCAGGGCUAGUGAUGAACAAAGGCGGGAUGGUCUCCAUUUUCUGGUCUGCUCUGGUCACCCAACACACAUACAUCCUUGACUGACCUGGAUAAGAAGCAGGAAGUGGUGGAUUCAUCCCAUGGACUCAACGGUGACUGCUGAUGCCUUUCAACCUACUCCUGCCCUGCAACAAAGCUGAACAGAGAUUCCAAAAUCUCUGAACUUUACCAUAGUGCCUCUGAUCCAUCCAGGGGCUUUUCCUCUGUUAUCUUCACCUGGAAUUGGAGAAUACUCUCUCUGUGUAGGAGGAGUCAGAUGUGCUUCCCCAUCCACAGGCAUGAUGCCUUCCCAGGAAUGCUAGAAGAAAGGCCAUGGAGUUCAGUACUGUGUGAUCUGGUGUGGAGCCCUGUGAGCUAAAUGAAGCAUUUCUUCUCCCCAGGAAGCACUCUCAUGCUCUGAACAGCAGCAGCACUGUGAGGAUAACCCAGCGUGGGCAGGGGGCUGACUCAUCUCUCCAGAAGAUUAACACUGUUUAUUAAUCACAGCUCCUUUGAAGUGAAAAAAUGGAGAAAACCUCUCGUGGCCAACGUUGUGAUUAACCACCUAAUUGUUCUACUGGGAGUCAGUUCAUGGAACAACCAAUUCCUUGUCCAUUCCAACUGACCCUCCAGUCAUCUUUUUCAUCAUGGGACAUGGUGCCACAAGUGAUGGAGAAUGUCUCAACAUUCUCUUCUGGGAGAAGACCCAUCAGGCUGAGCUGGAAGUGCUUGCUGAAUUGCAGAAUCACAGCCUCUCCCACCAGCUCUGAGCAUGCACAUUCCAGAUAAGGCUGGUGUUAGAGCACAGGAUUUUGGAGGGAGCUGGCACACCUAGCCCUAGCUCUGGGGAUGUCUUCUCCUCAGUCCACGUGGGUUUGC
This is a long non-coding RNA of Motacilla alba alba, 4679 nucleotides long. RefSeq lists it as uncharacterized. The record is from RefSeq and is a predicted model, not a curated record. Lineage: Eukaryota; Metazoa; Chordata; Aves; Passeriformes; Motacillidae. The transcript has 5 exons.